AUUGAACGCUGGCGGCAUGCUUUACACAUGCAAGUCGAACGGUAACAGCACUUCGGUGGCUGACGAGUGGCGAACGGGUGAGUAAUACAUCGGAACGUGCCUAGUAGUGGGGGAUAACUACUCGAAAGAGUAGCUAAUACCGCAUGAGAUCUAAGGAUGAAAGCAGGGGACCUUCGGGCCUUGCGCUACUAGAGCGGCUGAUGGCAGAUUAGGUAGUUGGUGGGAUAAAAGCUUACCAAGCCGACGAUCUGUAGCUGGUCUGAGAGGACGACCAGCCACACUGGGACUGAGACACGGCCCAGACUCCUACGGGAGGCAGCAGUGGGGAAUUUUGGACAAUGGGCGCAAGCCUGAUCCAGCAAUGCCGCGUGCAGGAUGAAGGCCUUCGGGUUGUAAACUGCUUUUGUACGGAACGAAAAGCCCUCUUCUAAUACAGGAGGGUCAUGACGGCACCGUAAGAAUAAGCACCGGCUAACUACGUG
This 482-nucleotide ribosomal RNA is filed under the name uncultured bacterium. RNAcentral describes it as "partial 16S ribosomal RNA". It matches the Rfam family "Bacterial small subunit ribosomal RNA", at positions 30 to 507 of the family's 1533-position model. The record is from RNAcentral.